UCCAUCACACAGCUGCCGAGCCUGUCUUGUUCUCAGUUGGCUUUCGGAAUGAAGCCCUGGAGCCAGAACUGGCCAAGCAAUGGAUAAAGAUGGAGGGAAUGCCUGGCUGGAUCCCUGUGAGCCUGUGGAAGCCCGAGAGGGGGCUCCACCUGAGCGGACCUGCUGCCCCCCCGACGACCCUGACCUCACUCUGAGAGAUGCAAGCUGCCAUUUGAAGAAGUCUGUGGGGCAAGGACCUGACCACUCGAGUAGACAACCAUGCCAUCUUCACUGCAGAGAGAAUGUCAAGGUGUGAUCACCCCAAAGACCCCCAGAAACCAUCACUGGACCCCCUGACUCUGGCCUUGAAGACUUUCAUCUCUGGAGGGAGAAGACCACAGACUCCCCAAUCCUUGUCAAAAGCUGUGUUUUUUCAAACUAAACCUGUAAGACCCCUUGCCAUCCCCUCUCAAGGAAGGACAGAGUUUGGAGGACAUUAGCCUGCUGUCACUUCCUUUUCCUGACAAAGCAAUAAAGGCUGUUCUUUCUGCUU
This is a non-coding RNA of Sus scrofa (pig), 532 nucleotides long. The record is from RefSeq and is a predicted model, not a curated record. Lineage: Eukaryota; Metazoa; Chordata; Mammalia; Artiodactyla; Suidae.